GACGAACGCUGGCGGCGUGCUUAACACAUGCAAGUCGAACGGUGAAGCGCCUUCCUUUUUGGUGGGUGUGGAUGAGUGGCGAACGGGUGAGUAACACGUGAGUAACCUGCCCCCUUCUUCUGGAUAACCGCAUGAAAGUGUGGCUAAUACGGGAUAUUCUGGGUCUGUCGCAUGAUGGGUCUGGGAAAGAUAUUGUUUCGGUGGGGGAUGGGCUCGCGGCCUAUCAGCUUGUUGGUGGGGUGAUGGCCUACCAAGGCGGUGACGGGUAGCCGGCCUGAGAGGGUGGACGGUCACACUGGGGCUGCGACGCGGCCCAGACUCCUACGGGAGGCAGCAGUGGGGAAUAUUGCACAGUGGGCGCAAGCCUGAUGCAACGCCGCCGCGUGAGGGAUGGAGGCCUUCGGGUUGUGAACCUCUUUCGCCAGUGAAGCAGGCCUGCCUCGUUUGUGGGUGGGUUGACGGUAGCUGGAUAAGAAGCGCCGGCUAACUACGUG
This 494-nucleotide ribosomal RNA is filed under the name uncultured bacterium. RNAcentral's name for it is "partial 16S ribosomal RNA". It matches the Rfam family "Bacterial small subunit ribosomal RNA", at positions 28 to 507 of the family's 1533-position model. The record is from RNAcentral.